CCGUCUCCGUCCCGGAUCCUGGCGUCGACUAGGAGACUUGCUGAUCACUCUCUGUCAGGAGGGGUGAUCGGGACUCAAUCCUGACUGGGCCUGUCGGCGACGUGUCAGUGCGAGCGCCGGGGCCGAGAAAACGACAUCACUGACUGCACCCGGAGAAGACCUGGUUCGGCGCUCGAGGACGCGGGUUCGAUUCCCGCCAGCUCCACCC
RNAcentral lists this transfer-messenger RNA (208 nucleotides) under Actinomycetota bacterium. RNAcentral describes it as "Actinobacteria bacterium partial transfer-messenger RNA". It matches the Rfam family "transfer-messenger RNA", at positions 151 to 374 of the family's 374-position model. Rfam says of the family: Bacterial tmRNA, also known as 10Sa RNA or SsrA, is named for its dual tRNA and mRNA-like properties. Its role is to liberate the mRNA from a stalled ribosome. Lineage: Bacteria; Bacillati; Actinomycetota. The record is from RNAcentral.